This is a long non-coding RNA of Syngnathus typhle (broad-nosed pipefish), 1380 nucleotides long. RefSeq lists it as uncharacterized. Lineage: Eukaryota; Metazoa; Chordata; Actinopteri; Syngnathiformes; Syngnathidae. The record is from RefSeq and is a predicted model, not a curated record. The transcript is spliced from 3 exons.
AUGAAUCGGUCAUGUGGGAGUUGUCAUCUCUUGCCUGCUUAACUUCCUGUGACCAAUUGAACUGUAGCCUACUUGUUACAUCAGUAAGUCACAUGGCCAUUCCGGGCAUUGCUGUCCGUCUGUAAAGUUGUACCCUGAGGAAUCCCUGCACAUUUUUCCGACCACUUUGCGUCCCGACCCACCAGUAGUACAGGUUUGGACAAACAACGCAUUGGUCUUGAAACUCAGAGGACUCAACUUCAAUACCCAUUAAGACCCCAAAAGAGCCAGUGACUAUUUGAGGAAUGUCGCUAAGCAACCUUUCAUUUGGUUGCAACACAUGUACAUGCGUGUGACAGAGUGCUCCGGUGAGGAAAAAUGCCCCCUCGGCAUGAUUCCUCCCCUUUUCCAUCUUCAUCACGAUCGCUUUGACCUUUGAGAAGCAAGGAAAUCUGCCAGCAAUCUCACAUGACCAGGGCAGGAAGGGAUUUGUGAGCACAAAAACUUACAGCCCAGUUCAAUCGGGUAAAUCAAGCGAUAAGCCGAUUCCCUGGCAUGAGAAGCAAAGAAGGCGGGAUGACGUCAGCAAGCGGCUCAGAAACAUCACCCACAGUGUUCACGGUGCAUCCAAAAUGAGAAUGAUGACCAAGACACAGUAAUGAAGAAAUAAAAAGCACAAAGCGGCAAGCCAAGAGUUGCCCAAAGGCAUAUAUAAAGGACUCAAACCACAAGGAGACAAAAUGAUCUGGUAUGAAUGUCAAGACAUCUUUUUUCCAGUUCCAGUAACUUAAGGAAGGAAAGGUGGAUCGAUCCAGCAAUGUCGGGACAAUGGCUGACGCUCUACAAGUCUGACUGACGAGGGCGGUGGUUCUUCUGUGGAGGACAAAGACGCUAAGAACACAUGCAAAAUUGCUAAAACAGGAUUUGGAUGACGCGGCCCAAAGUUUAGCGUGCCAAGACUGUGGCACCACAUUGAAAAAUACUUAAAUCUACAAUCGCUGCCAAAUCAAUCAAUACUCUUGUUUACAAGUCAUAUCUUGUCAUUAUGCCAUUACGGACUCACGUGUAGGAUUUUUUUUUUCUUCCAGUUACAGAUGUGGGAAAAGUGAAGCAACCAACACUCUCCAUGAAAUCCUUUGCCAGUUAGCAAGACUUCCUAGUAAACAAUUCCUGCAGCUCGGUUGCUCUAUCAUUCAUUAAACCACUUUGUUCUUUUAAUUUCACAUUCUUGGCACUGAUGCCCAAGAUCAGUGAUAAGAGGCGUGUGUUUGUGUGAUGGAUUGUUUCCAAUAAGUGGCGAAGAAGCAAGAACAAAUGAGGAUAUUAAAAUAUUAAACCUCCCUCCUUGUAGUAACAAUGCUUUUACUUGUGCCAACGAGGCUCAAAGUACGCUUUCCUCCG